GAUGAAGAAACGUAGCGAAAUGCGAUAAGUAAUGUGAAUUGCAGAAUUCCGUGAAUCAUCGAAUCUUUGAACGCACAUUGCGCCCUCUGGUAUUCCGGGGGGCAUGCCUGUCCGAGCGUCAUUUGCAACCCUCAAGCCCGGCUUGUGUGAUGGGUGCCGUCCCCUACGGGACGCGCCCCGAAGGCAAUGGCGGCGUCGCGGUUAUCCGAUCAGCCAAAGUGUAUGGGGCUUUGUCACUCACUUUACGGCCCGGACCGGCGCCAGUCCGAAUCAAUCUUUUUUCUAAAGUUGACCUCGGAUCAGGUAGGGAUACCCGCUGAACUUAAGCAUAUCAAUAAGCGGAGGA
Molecule: unclassified non-coding RNA, 346 nt
Filed under: soil metagenome
Description: partial contains 5.8S ribosomal RNA, internal transcribed spacer 2, and large subunit ribosomal RNA
Rfam family: 5.8S ribosomal RNA (bases 1-121)
Source: RNAcentral